RNAcentral lists this ribosomal RNA (443 nucleotides) under uncultured bacterium. Its description in RNAcentral is "partial 16S ribosomal RNA". It matches the Rfam family "Bacterial small subunit ribosomal RNA", at positions 338 to 795 of the family's 1533-position model. The record is from RNAcentral.
CCUACGUGUGGCAGCAGUGGGGAAUCUUGGGCAAUGGGCGCAAGCCUGACCCAGCAACGCCGCGUGAAGGAAGAAGGCUUUCGGGUUGUAAACUUCUUUUCUCAGGGACGAAGAAAGUGACGGUACCUGAGGAAUAAGCCACGGCUAACUACGUGCCAGCAGCCGCGGGAAUACGUAGGUGGCAAGCGUUAUCCGGAUUUAUUGGGUGUAAAGGGCGUGUAGGCGGGAGCGCAAGUCAGAUGUGAAAACUCAGGGCUCAACCCUGAGCAUGCAUUUGAAACUGUGUUUCUUGAGUGCUGGAGAGGCAAUCGGAAUUCCGUGUGUAGCGGUGAAAUCCGUAGAUAUCUGGAGGAACAUCAGUGGCGAAGGCGACUAUCUGGCACAUAACUGACGCUGAGGAGCGAAAGCGUGGGUAGCAAACAGGAUUAGAUACCCCAGUAGUC